GGGACACGUGGUAUCCUGUCUGAAUAUGGGGGGACCAUCCUCCAAGGCUAAAUACUCCUGACUGACCGAUAGUGAACCAGUACCGUGAGGGAAAGGCGAAAAGAACCCCGGCGAGGGGAGUGAAAAAGAACCUGAAACCGUGUACGUACAAGCAGUGGGAGCCCUGAUUUAUCAGGGUGACUGCGUACCUUUUGUAUAAUGGGUCAGCGACUUAUAUUCUGUAGCAAGGUUAACCGAAUAGGGGAGCCGGAGGGAAACCGAGUCUUAACUGGGCGUUAAGUUGCAGGGUAUAGACCCGAAACCCGGUGAUCUAGCCAUGGGCAGGUUGAAGGUUGGGUAACACUAACUGGAGGACCGAACCGACUAAUGUUGAAAAAUUAGCGGAUGACUUGUGGCUGGGGGUGAAAGGCCAAUCAAACCGGGAGAUAGCUGGUUCUCCCCGAAAGCUAUUUAGGUAGCGCCUCGUGAAUUCAUCUCCGGGGGUAGAGCACUGUUUCGGCAAGGGGGUCAUCCCGACUUACCAACCCGAUGCAAACUGCGAAUACCGGAGAAUGUUAUCACGGGAGACACACGGCGGGUGCUAACGUCCGUCGUGAAGAGGGAAACAACCCAGACCGCCAGCUAAGGUCCCAAAGUCAUGGUUAAGUGGGAAACGAUGUGGGAAGGCCCAGACAGCCAGGAUGUUGGCUUAGAAGCAGCCAUCAUUUAAAGAAAGCGUAAUAGCUCACUGGUCGAGUCGGCCUGCGCGGAAGAUGUAACGGGGCUAAACCAUGCACCGAAGCUGCGGCAGCGACGCUGAUGCGUUGUUGGGUAGGGGAGCGUUCUGUAAGC
This 831-nucleotide ribosomal RNA is filed under the name Escherichia albertii. RNAcentral's name for it is "partial 23S ribosomal RNA". It matches the Rfam family "Bacterial large subunit ribosomal RNA", at positions 419 to 1248 of the family's 2925-position model. The record is from RNAcentral. Lineage: Bacteria; Pseudomonadati; Pseudomonadota; Gammaproteobacteria; Enterobacterales; Enterobacteriaceae.